Molecule: long non-coding RNA, 283 nt
Organism: Astyanax mexicanus (Mexican tetra)
Lineage: Eukaryota; Metazoa; Chordata; Actinopteri; Characiformes; Acestrorhamphidae
Exons: 4
Source: RefSeq, a predicted model, not a curated record
ACCAGUCCGUCCGGAGACAGGUAGAACCGUUAGCAGGUAGAACCUUUAGCAGGUAGAACCGUUAACAGGUAGAACCGCUAGCAGGUAGAACUAUUAACAGGUAGAACCGCUAGCAGGUAGAACCGUUAACAGGUAGAACCACUAGCAGGUAGAACCGUUAACAGGUAGAACCGCUAGCAGGUAGAACUAUUAACAGGUAGAACCGCUAGCAGGUAGAACCGUUAACAGGUAGAACCGCUAGCAGGUAGAACCGUUAACAGGUAGAACCGCUAGCAGGUAGAAC